Molecule: unclassified non-coding RNA, 378 nt
Filed under: uncultured delta proteobacterium
Lineage: Bacteria; Deltaproteobacteria
Description: contains 16S-23S intergenic spacer region
Source: RNAcentral
UCCGGCUUAUAGCUCGGCGGUCUCGCUAAAGUGCCCAACUAAAUGCUGGUAACUAGCGACGAGGGUUGCGCUCGUUGCGGGACUUAACCCAACAUCUCACAACACGAGCUGACGACAGCCAUGCAGCACCUGUCACCGCGUCCCCGAAGGGAACCCCUGGUUUCCCAGAGUAGCGCGGGAUGUCAAGCCCAGGUAAGGUUCUUCGCGUAGCAUCGAAUUAAACCACAUGCUCCACCGCUUGUGCGGGCCCCCGUCAAUUCCUUUGAGUUUUAAUCUUGCGACCGUACUCCCCAGGCGGGAUACUUAACGCGUUAGCUGCGUCACUGAAGCUAUUAGGUACUCCAACGACUAGUAUCCAUCGUUUAGGGCGUGGACUAC